UAGGGAAUCUUCGGCAAUGGACGAAAGUCUGACCGAGCAACGCCGCGUGAGUGAAGAAGGUUUUCGGAUCGUAAAACUCUGUUGUUAGAGAAGAACAAGGACGUUAGUAACUGAACGUCCCCUGACGGUAUCUAACCAGAAAGCCACGGCUAACUACGUGCCAGCAGCCGCGGUAAUACGUAGGUGGCAAGCGUUGUCCGGAUUUAUUGGGCGUAAAGCGAGCGCAGGCGGUUUCUUAAGUCUGAUGUGAAAGCCCCCGGCUCAACCGGGGAGGGUCAUUGGUAACUGGGAGACUUGAGUGCAGAAGAGGAGAGUGUAAUUCCAUGGGUAGCGAUGAAAUGCGUAGAUAUAUGGAGGAACACGAGUGGCGAAGGCGGCUGUCUGGUCUGUAACUGACGCUGAGGCUCGAAAGCGUGGGGAGCAAACAGG
This 429-nucleotide ribosomal RNA is filed under the name Gemmatimonadota bacterium. Its description in RNAcentral is "Gemmatimonadetes bacterium partial 16S ribosomal RNA". It matches the Rfam family "Bacterial small subunit ribosomal RNA", at positions 355 to 776 of the family's 1533-position model. Lineage: Bacteria; Pseudomonadati; Gemmatimonadota. The record is from RNAcentral.